This 466-nucleotide ribosomal RNA is filed under the name Vreelandella stevensii. Its description in RNAcentral is "partial 16S ribosomal RNA". It matches the Rfam family "Bacterial small subunit ribosomal RNA", at positions 338 to 795 of the family's 1533-position model. The record is from RNAcentral. Lineage: Bacteria; Pseudomonadati; Pseudomonadota; Gammaproteobacteria; Oceanospirillales; Halomonadaceae.
CCUACGGGCGGCUGCAGUGGGGAAUAUUGGACAAUGGGCGAAAGCCUGAUCCAGCCAUGCCGCGUGUGUGAAGAAGGCCUUCGGGUUGUAAAGCACUUUCAGUGGGGAAGAAAGCCUUGGGGCUAAUACCCUCGAGGAAGGACAUCACCCACAGAAGAAGCACCGGCUGAACUCCGUGCCAGCAGCCGCGGUAAUACGGAGGGUGCGAGCGUUAAUCGGAAUUACUGGGCGUAAAGCGCGCGUAGGCGGUCUGAUAAGCCGGUUGUGAAAGCCCCGGGCUCAACCUGGGAACGGCAUCCGGAACUGUCAGGCUAGAGUGCAGGAGAGGAAGGUAGAAUUCCCGGUGUAGCGGUGAAAUGCGUAGAGAUCGGGAGGAAUACCAGUGGCGAAGGCGGCCUUCUGGACUGACACUGACGCUGAGGUGCGAAAGCGUGGGUAGCAAACAGGAUUAGAUACCCCUGUAGUC